This 564-nucleotide ribosomal RNA is filed under the name uncultured archaeon. RNAcentral describes it as "bacterial SSU rRNA". It matches the Rfam family "Archaeal small subunit ribosomal RNA", at positions 266 to 832 of the family's 1478-position model. The record is from RNAcentral.
GGUACGGGCAGUGAGAGCUGUAGCCCGGAGAUGGGGACUGAGACAAGGCCCCAGGCCCUACGGGGCGCAGCAGGCGCGAAACCUUCACAAUGCUCGAAAGAGUGAUGAGGGUACUCCGAGUGCCUAUGCUUUGCAUAGGCUUUUCUCCAGCGUAAAUAGUUGGAGGAAUAAGGGCUGGGCAAGACCGGUGCCAGCCGCCGCGGUAACACCGGCAGCCCAAGUGGUGACCGUUUUUAUUGGGCCUAAAGCGUUCGUAGCCGGACGGGCAAGUCUUUGGGUAAAUCCUACGUCCCAAGCGUGGGAAUUCUAAAGAUACUACCUGUCUUGAGGCCGGAAGAGGCUGGAGGUACUUCUGGGGUAGGGGUAAAAUCCUAUAAUCCCAGGGGGACCACCGAUGGCGAAGGCAUCCAGCUGGGACGGGCCUGACGGUGAGGAACGAAACCCAGGGGAGCGAGCCGGAUUAGAUACCCGGGUAGUCCUGGGCGUAAAUGAUGUGGGCUUGGUGUGAGUGCAUCGACGUGGUGCCCUUGUGCCGUAGGGAAGCCGUUAAGCCCACCGCCUGGG